AAAAGAAAUGUUCAAAUAAACAAAAUUCCUAAACUAUCCACCUAAACCCUUAAACUUUCCCAGUGAUUUCCUGCAUCGAGGCCAACUUCGAUGACUGGUUGCCUUCAAGAUUUUCUCUUCCUUUCGUUUUUGUCUUGUACCAGCCUCUCAAAACUCAAAGCUUCCUCGGAGGUCCACUCCCCUACCAUUUCCUCCGGUCUCAGCAACACAAUUACUCUUUAACUUCUAUGGCAUUUAUUUUUAUCUACUGUUAUAAGACACUCAAUUUCUGGAGAGACUUCUUCCACCCAGUAAAUCAAAGAGUCAGAUCAUCGUUUCUACACUACCAAUCCAUGCUCUGCUUCAGUUGCCGUUCGGGGAACAUGCCUAAAAGUUAAGGUUUCGAAUAUGGAUAACAUGUCCUUAAUGUCAUUGAUUAUGUUACUUAUGUACGAUCUAUCAUUUCCUUCCAUUCUUAACUUUUUUUUAUCACUGUUAAUGCAUCUCCCUCCACGCAGGCUCUCUUGAAUCCCAGAUCCUCUGCAAAUAUUACCGUUUGUAGACAUGCUUUAGCUUCUGCAGUGGUCGGGUCGUGAAUCUCUCCCAUGGGUAAACACAUGACCUCAUUACUAACCCUUCGUUAUUCCUGAUUAUUACACCUGAUACUCUUUGUUAUGUUUCAACUGGAAAGAAGUAUCAAUGUUUAUCUUGACCUAUUCAUCUUCAGGGGGUUCCCAAACGGUUUCUUCUCUAUUAGUCUUAAUUUCUGAUAGUGUUUCCAGUUGAUUAUAUUCUGUCACGUAUGCCUUGAUAAAACCUACUACAUCCUACACUUUCUCCCUAAUCCCUUCGUGAUAUAGUUUAUUCUUGUUAUACCAUGUAGACACCUAUUUUUUUUCGACCCAUUUGUUCUUUUUAAAUUUUUGUUCUCUCCCCGUUUGAAGCCCACCCAAUUUUCGUUAAUUGGAGGCCUUUUUUUCUUUCUUUUUUUUUUUCCUUUUUGAGUCUGUCAAGGACUCAAACUAUUAUUAUUAUUACUACUACUAUUAUUAUUAUUAAAUAUCUUUUUUAUCUUUUUUUAUUACAAAUAAACAAGAUUAAAAAACAAUAUCUAUAUAUAUAUGAAAUGAAAUAAAACAAAGGGAGAAGGCUUUUCAUAUUCUUUUUUUUUUAAAGGUAAAAGAAAAAAUAACAACAACAAGCAUGCUAUUUCUUUUUCUUUACUUUUUGUCAUAGACAUGUCAUGAGGGAUCGGGUUUUAGGCUCCAAUGAAGGGGACGUCAACGGACCGUCGAUCCUCCGCCCUUAGGAGCCCCAAAAAUCUCUUCUUCUUUUUUCCUUCCCUUUUCUAAAAUAAAGUUUUUUUUUUAAAAAAAGCUUGAUCUUAGGAAAAAUUUUGAUUUUUUUUUAAAAAAGUGAAAGUUUAGUUUUUUAAAAUAAAAAUAUGUUUUUUAGUCAUAUUAAAGGAAAAGUUUAAAUUUUUAAAAUAAAGUUUUGAUCUUUUUCAACUAUUUUGAAAUAAAACUUUGAUUUUUAAAAAAAGUGAUUUUUUUUAAAAGAGAAAUUUUAGAUUUUUAAAAUAAAAAUAUGGUUUUUAGUCAUUUUAAAAGAAAAGUUUAAAAUUUUUAAAACAAAGUUUUGAUUUUUUUUCAACUAUUUCAAAAUAAUGCUUUGAUUUUUAAGAAAAGUAGUGAUUUUUUUAAAAGAAAACUUUGAUUUUGCAAAAAAAUAAAAUAAAAUAAAAUUCCAACCACCGUAUGCGGCGGCUCCACCACAGGAGGCCGAAGAGUCGUUGGACUCUCCGGUGGUGGAACCAUGGCCAACAUAGAAAGAGGAAGAAAAUGAGGAAGAGUUUUUAUUUUUAUUUUUAUUUUUAAAUGAGGUUAAAAAUGAAAUAAUGAAUAAAUUUCUCCUAUUUAUAUGUGCCAAAAUGGAUAAUUUAUUCCCACCCCCUUACUUUUUAAAUUUACAAAAAAUACCCCAUUUUUUGUAGCACACUCUCUGGUCUAUUUACACCCGUAACUCUUUUUGUUUAUUUAAACCUUUAAUUUAAUCCAAAAUUUCAAAAUUAAAAAUAAAUUAAUUGCUACAUCAGUCAUCUAUCUUCCACAUUUUUUAUCUUUUAGUCCCAAAAUCAAGUUAUGCCAUUUUGUUUCCAUCUUUAAUAAAUUAUUUACACUUAUAUCUUCCCUUUCAUUUGCAUUUAUACAUUCUAUAUUUAAUGUCAAUUAUGCACUUUAUUUUAAUGUUUGAUAUUUAUUCACACUUGUAUAAUUUUUAUUUAUUCUUAUUUCAUCUUUAUUUAUUUUCAAGUCUAUUUAUAUUUAUGUUUUUUUUACACAUUCUCCUUACAUACAUUUUAAUAUUAUUUGUUUAUGUUACUUUGAUUCUUUUAUUGUAUUAUGAAUAAGGUGUAUUAUUGUUAUUAUUAUCAUUAUCAUGUCAAGGUCUUAUUUGUUUAAUUUAUUUAAGUUUUCUUUUUAUUAUUGCCCUUUUUGAAAGAGUUUUAACUUUUGAAACUUUAGGUCAUUUUUUCUUCCUAUAAAUGUUGAAAUGAAGUUAGUUAAGUAGAUGUUACAUUUUAAUGAAACCAUAAGGUUUUUACAUUUGAAUUUAUGCUAGUCUUUAAGAUCUUAUCUACCAUUUACCCUAGAAAAAUUAAAAAUAAUAUGUAGGAUUAUUUUAGGGUUUUAAACUAAUUUUAAAUAUCGUAUAGGAUUCCUCUUUAGAAUCUUAAAUUAAUGUGUAAAUAUUUUUUAGAACUUUGAUUAAGAUUAAAACUGAAGAUUUUUGUUGGUGAAUUGUAAAUCAUGAGUAUGUCUUUCUAAGUAUUUUAUUUUAGAAACUUUUUAAGAAAGCUAAUAAAUGUUAUUUAAUAUAUAUUAUUUUAGGAUUUUGAUGAAUUUAAAUCUUAGAUUAAGAAUUUUAAGGUAAGAUAAAUCAUAAACCCGAUAUAGGAUCGAUGAUUUUACAACAUUGAGAGGUAAACAUGAGAUUAUGCGCAAUUCAAAUUGGAAAGAUGGGAGCAUUCCCUAGAAUGACUUUUGUGAUGAAAUUAACCAUAUUUCGAAAUGAUAAAUGGCAUCCUUUUGUUCUUCCCCGUCACUUGGAGAAAAUCAAAUCCUUUGCUACCCUAUUUUGAGCCUUAUGUAUUUUCUUUCUGAACCCUAAUUAAAGUCAUCCAUCGAACAUCAUGGAUUGACAAGAAAGAUCAUGAGAAAUGAAAACAAAAUUCUUAAUUCUUAAUCUCAUUUCCAAAAAAUAUGUGUAUAUAUAUAUAUAAAAGAAAUAGAGAAAGCGAAUAAGAAACAAAAAAAAGAAAGGAAAUAGAAAAGAGUAAGAAUUAAAAAAAAGUGCUUGGGAGAUGGAAGGAGCAAUAAAAAGUUCAAAAUAACUCAUCAUGGUUUUUAUACUAUUUCACAUAAUAUUUAUAUUUUAGCCUAGAAAACCUUUCCCUAAUUGACCCUUAACCUUUAGACCAUGUUACAACCCUUAAAAGACCAUUUUGACCGAAUAUAUUUGUUCAAAUCAAGAAGUUAAUCUUUGGGAAAUUGUGACGUCUUCAAGAGCUUAAAAGGGAGAUGAAAUCGUGUGAAAACUUAGAAAUGAUAUGAGAUGCCCUGGAGGAUAAUGAAGAUUUUUAGAUGAAAUUGAUCCUUCAAUACGAAUCCUGAAGUCAUCUAUUUGAGCCUAUUUUAGCCUUUUCUUUGGCACCCAAACUCGAGCUGACACUAUAACCUUGGAACAAGUCCAUCUCUGAUUGCUCAUAGCCAGUUUAAAUAAGGGAAUUAAUCUACAUGGAGAAUGUAAGAGUCUAUAGAAAGAAGAUUUUGCCUAAAUAAAUAAAUAUAUAUAUAAAAGAAAACAAAAAGAAGAAAAAAAUAGAGAAAGAGAGAGAGAGAAAGGAACUACAAUAAAGAAUAUCUAUUUUAAGACGCAAUUUUGCAAAAGAGCAUGGUACAGGGUUCACAGUCAAAAUAAUCCAAAGUCAGGAAUAAGAAAUUCGACUUCAUGAGAAUUAACGAGUUGACUCUCAAUGCAAGAAAUUUAUGUUUUAAUCGUGGAUUAAUGAAAUCCAUAAUACCAAGUUUGUUAGGUGAAUUAUCAUUUAAGAAUUUAAUUUACGGUUCAUAAAAUUAUUUUGAAAUUUGUUAAGGUGAUAUUCCAUGAGAUUUGAUUUUCAUGAUCUAUUGUGUGUGGAUAGGGAUUUGAUCCUUUUCAACCUAAAAACAUGAUUCUCAAAAAGACGACCUUUUAUGAAAAAUUCAAGAAAGGAAGAAGGAAAGCAUUCAUUGCAUUUAGAGGCCCAACUGUGCAUGUCCAUUUACUUUUCAUUGCAUUUAAAGGCCCACGUGUGGAGGUCCAUUUACUUUUCAUUGCAUUGUAUAUGAAGGCAUAGGUGUGAGAUCUAUUUACAUUUCUUUUGCAUUCCCAUUUCAAAGAUUUGGUUGUGAGGUCUGAAUUUAUCUUGUUUCACUCUCCAUGUUUUGAUGGUUUGGCAUCUAUUUUUCUAGUUUUGGAAAACAUAACAUGUUUUGAUUUGUUUCGGUUUUGGUAAUUGUAAAAUAUGUUGUUCCUUAUACUGCGAUGUUGAGUGGCAUUUGAUAGUAGUUAGGUGUCUAUGUCUUUGUACAUUCCUUACUACGCAAGCCACGAACAAAGAGGCGCAGCUGUAGACACCUCUUUUUUCCAAACCUAAUUGGAGGCCAUUUGUUCUCUUUAAAUUUUUGUUCUCUCUUAGGCCAGUUUGAAGCCCAUUCGAUUUUGGUCAAUUUGAGGCCUUUGUUUUUCUUUUCUUUUUCUUUCCCUUUUGGGCCUGUCAAGGGCCCAUAUUAUUAUUAUUAUUAUUAUUAUUAUUAUUAUUAUCAUUACUACUACUAUUAUUAUUAUUAUUAAAUAUCAUUAUCAUCUUUUUUUACAAAUAAACAAGAUUGAAAAACAAUAUAUAUAUACAUGAAAUGAAAGAAAAAAAAAAGGAGGCGACUUUUCAUAUUCUGCUUUCAAUCAUGCUAUUUCUUUUUCUUUUUCUUUUCUUUUCUUUUUACAUAGACAUGUCAUGAUGGAUUGGGUUUUGGGCUCCUAUGAAGGGGACGUCACUGGACCGUCGAUCCUUCGGCAAUAGGAGCCUUAAAAAUCCAUUUUUUAUACCUUUCCCUUUUUAAAAAAUAAAAGUUUUUUUUUAAAACAAAGCUUGAUUAUAGGAAAAGUUUUGAUUUUUUUAAAAAAAGAGAGUUUGUAUUUUUAAAAUAAAAAUAUGAUUGUUAGUCAUAUUAAAGGAAAAGCUUAAAUUUUUAAAAGAAAGUUUUGAUUUUUUUAACUAUUUCAAAAAAAAGCUUUGAUUUUUAAGAAAAAUAGUGAUUUUUUUUAAAAGAGAAAGUUUAUAUUUUUAAAAUAAAAAUUUAUUUUUUAAGUCAUUUUAAAGGAAAAGUUUAAAAUUUUUAAAACAAAGUUUUGAUAUUUUUCAACUAUUGCAAAAUAAAACUUUGAUUUUUAAGAAAAGUAGUGAUUUUUUUAAAGAAAACUUUGAUUUUGUUAAAAAAAAAAGGGGCCAUUGUAUAUGGUGGCUCCACCACCGAAGGCCAGAGAGCCGUUGGGCUCUCUAGUGGCAAAGCCAUGGCCAACAUAGAAAGAGGAAGAGAAGGAGGAAGAGGUUUUUUUUUUUUAAAUGAGGUUAAAAAUGAAAGAAUAAGUAGAUUUCUCCAAUUUAUAGGUGCCAAAAUGAUAAUUUAUUCCCAACUCAUUACUUUUUAAAUUUACAAAAAAAUACCCCAUUUUUUGCAGCACACUCUCUGACCUAUUUACACCCGUAACCCUUUUGUUUAUUCAAGCCUUCGAUUUAAUCUAAAAUUUUAAAAUUAAAAGAAAAUUAAUUAUUACAUCAGUCCUUUGUUUUCCACAUUUUUUAUUAUUGCCUUUUUGAAAGAGUUUUAACUUUUCAUUAACUUUAGCCAAUUUAAUUAAUUUUCCUAUUUUAUUACUAUUUGUUUUUAAAGAGGAAACUUUAGGUUAUUUUUCCAUCAUAUAAAUGUUGACAUGAAGCUAGUUAAGUAGAUGUUACAUUUUAAUGAAAUCAUAAGGUUUUGAUAUUUGAAUUUAGGUUAGCCUUUAAGAUCUUAUCUACCAUUUACCCUAGAAAAAUUAAAAGUAAUAUGUAGGAUUGCUUUUAGGAUUUUAAACUAAUUUUAAAUAUCAUAUAGGAUUCCUCUUUAGAAUCUUAAAUUAAUGUGUAAAUAUUCUUUAGAACUUUGUUCAAGAUUAAAACUAAAGAUUUUUGUAGGUGAAUUGUAAAUCAUGGGUAGGUCUUUCUAAGUAUUUUAUUUUAGAAACUUUUUGAGAAAACUAAUAAAUGCUAUUUAAGAUAUAUUAUUUUAGAAUUUUGACGAAUUUAAACAUUAGAUCAAGAAUUUUAAAGUAAGAUAAAUCAUAAACCCGACAUAGGAUACUUACAUAAGAUCUUCAUAGGUUCCAAGUUAUUAAUUAAAUCUUUUAAAAAAUAAUAAUAAUAAAAGAUCAAAUAAGUUGUAGAUAGAUUUUAAUAUUUCUCUAAAUUCAUUGGUAAUUUCUAGGUUUUUUUUUAGAAUUCUAAAAUAGAAUUAAUUUUAGGAAUUGAAGGUAUUUUUGUAACGUCCUAAAUUAGGGCCUAGUCGAAAUAGUGGUUUCGAGACCAUAAAUCCGAAGUGGAAAUAUUUAUUUUAUAAUUAUUAUAAAUUCUAUGAUAUGUUUCUAUGCUUGUGUGAAAAUUCCAUGAGGAAAUUUUAUGUGAAAAGUGUCUAAUUGAACUUUAGGGACUAAAUCGAAUAAUUUGUAAAACUUGUUUUCUAGAAGCAUUUUGCAUGAAAUUGAAUUGGAUUAUUUAUUAUAGGUCCUUAAUGAGUAAUUUGACCAAGUUCUAAAAAUUUUGGACAAAAAUGGGCUUGGAAGGGUAAAUUUUGAAAGAAUAGUAAAAAAGGCAUUUUGGUCAUUUAGGGGUAAAAUGAACUAAAAGACAAAAUUAAAAACCAAAUGUGUCCAUCUUCUUCCUAAGGGCCGAAAUUCUCAUGAAAACCACCAUGGCUAGGGUUUCUAAGCUUCCAAGCUCAAUAUUAAGUGCCUUCAAACCUCGUUUUUAAUGUUCUAAGCAUUUUUGAAGUCCUGGUAGCAUGAUCUAUCUAUUUCUACCAUUAUUUUGAGCUAUAGUUCAUGUUUAAAAAUUUACCCAUGCAUGACAUGUUAGUAUUUUGAUGUUUAAUGGUAGAAUAUGAAAGAUUGGGGUGUGUUUAACAUCUUUUACUAAGUGUUUUUUCAUGAAAAAGCCUAAAAAGGACUAAAUUGAAAAAGGUGUAAAAUGGGUAACUAAAAAUCUAUUUUAAUGAGAAAUAUGGGCUACCAUAAGCUUGACUAUGGUUCGGCUAGGCUUGGGUAACCAAGAAAUUGAACACAUUUCAUUUUACGAGCCUAGGGACCAAAGUGUAAAUAUGUGAAAAUUUAUGAGUCAAAAAGAAAAUUUGUAAAAAAAAUGAUUUUUGGACCCAUAUGAAUAAUGUGACUAAUUAGUAAGCUAAAUGUGAUACAAUAGAUCAAGGAAAAUAAGAUUCGGGCUUAGAACGAGGUUGAACAAGGUUAUGGACUAAUUUGGAAUAAGUAGUUGUAAUCGAACCCGAGGUAAGUUCAUAUGAUGAAAUAACCAAGUUGUUAAUGUUAUUGUUGUUCAUGGAUGAAAUCUAAAUUGGUAUGUUAAUCUAGUUGUGAUGAAUUGAUUAGAAUAUGAAAAAGUGAAAUGAAAUGAAAGCUUUUACUAUGAUGAGUAUAAAUACUUAAUGUAAUGUUGUACCAUGUGUUUAACGCUUAAAUUUUAUUAUGGAAUGUGCUUUGAUUAUCCCAUGAAUAUGUGGUUGAUGCUAUGAAUGGGCAAUUGGUACUAUUGUCAGCCUGAAUGACAUAUGGCCAUUAAAUACGACAUCACGAGCAAGUAUUCCAUGUGCAAGUGAGAAAGAAUCUCGUUUGAACCUUAGGAAUAGUUUAGGAUACAAGUGACAUCCCACUAGGAAUUAAGCAAUCCGAGCUCGUUUAGCUGUCCGAGCUCGUGAUAUGUAUGAGAUUCCAAACUUGUUGAGUGGUCCAAGUUCGUGAGAUAAGUGGCAUCCAAGCUCGUUGAGUGGUCCGAGUUCAAUGUGUAUGCGAUGCCUGUGACUGAGUUCCGGGCAACAGUCUUGAGUGUUCUACAGGUGGCUAGGUAAUCCUUGAGUGGUCGGAUACCUAUCAGCUUUUGUGAGUAGCCCGUGUAGUUACACCUAGAUCGGUUACUAUAUGUGUAACGUUCCAUGUAUCCAAUAGUAUUCUAAGUGUUCAACGGGUAUUGAUAUGUAAUGAAUGUGAUGAAGUCCCGAGAAGGGCAUGCUAAGAGGUAUGGUUAUGUGAUAUACUACGAUGAGCACAUGUAUGUACGCUAAAUUCAUGAGUAAUAGUUCGAUGAAUGAUGACUUUAGAUGAGGAAGCAUAUGUAUGUGUAUAUAUAUGAUAAACAAGUGAAAAGAGUUGAAUGGUGAACCAUCCUUAUGCCUAUGAUUAUGAAAUUUGUUGCAAUAUCAUGUUAACUUACAUUGUGUAAUUGAAUAAGGGAUCCAUGAAAUAAUGAGUCCAUGAUAGAUGUGACAAUGAACUUAGGUUAGUUAUUAUGAAUUUGCACUAUAACAGUGUUGGACAGCAGCACUUAUGUGAUUUUGAAAAUCUACCAAAAAUUGUGGAAUUUGAAUUAGAAACUGAAUAUGAUAUGAGAUAAAAGCUUAUUGAGUCUAGUUUCACAUAGAGGAAAUGAUGUAAGCAAAAUAUUUUUAUACUAUGAGAUAUUUGAAAUUUUGUGAGAUAGAGUCAGGGUGAUUUCGGGCUCCCCUGUUGAACUUUGGAAAAUUACUAGAAAUUGAAAAAAAAUAAUUAUGGGUUAAAAUUUAUAUGAAUAAGCUCUUAAUAAGUCUAUUUUAUGCACAUAUAAUAGGGGACACUUUAAAGAAUAAACUUUACUUAUUGGCUAGACCACAAAUUCUUGAAAUUUUAUGGUAAGAAGAUAUAUGAGUCUAGUUUUAGGGAAAAUUUACGGAUCUUAAUUUGGAGUUUCAUAGCUCCAGAUAUAAAUAAAUUAGUAACUAUGACUUGAGAAAACAGCAUGACCAAAAAAUAAGUAAAAGUGUAAUUAUGAUUAUAUCUCCGUGGAAUCAUGUUGAUAAUUUGCUUAUUAUUUUCAUAUGAACUUACUAAGCUUUAAGCUUACUCCCUCCUCUCCAUUUCUUUAGUGUUGUUAGGUCAGCUCGGGGUUGGAGAUCGUCAUAGGCAGCAUCACACUAUGAAGCCAUCCCCUAUGGAUUGUUAACAUGUAUAAGUUAAGCAUACACAAGUGAGUGGCAUGUAUAGAGACUUAGUCUUUCGAUAUAUGUGUUUCAUGAAUUGGCCAAAUGUAUUGACUUAUAAUGAUUCAAUUGUAUAUAGCCAUGAGAUGUGGCUUAUAUUGAUUAAUGGGUUGUAACCCUAUUAUAUGUGCAUGCACAAGCUUAAAAAUUUCAUGUGAUGUGAGUAUGUGACUUGCUAUGGUGUGCAAUG
This 9549-nucleotide long non-coding RNA is filed under the name Gossypium barbadense (sea-island cotton). RNAcentral's name for it is "long non-coding RNA (GBAR_LNC005055)". Lineage: Eukaryota; Viridiplantae; Streptophyta; Magnoliopsida; Malvales; Malvaceae. The record is from RNAcentral.